AUUGAACGCUGGCGGCAUGCCUUACACAUGCAAGUCGAACGGUAACGCGGGGCAACCUGGCGACGAGUGGCGAACGGGUGAGUAAUGCAUCGGAACGUGCCCAGUAGUGGGGGAUAGCCCGGCGAAAGCCGGAUUAAUACCGCAUACGACCUACGGGUGAAAGGGGGGAGUCGCAAGACCUCUCGCUAUUGGAGCGGCCGAUGUCAGAUUAGGUAGUUGGUGGGGUAAGGACCUACCAAGCCGACGAUCUGUAGCUGGUCUGAGAGGACGACCAGCCACACUGGGACUGAGACACGGCCCAGACUCCUACGGGAGGCAGCAGUGGGGAAUAUUGGACAAUGGGCGAAAGCCUGAUCCAGCAAUGCCGCGUGAGUGAUGAAGGCCUUAGGGUUGGUAAAGACUCUUUUACCCGGGUAUGAUAAUGACAGUACCGGGAGAAUAAGCUCCGGCUAACUCCGUGCCAGCAGCCGCGGUAAU
RNAcentral lists this ribosomal RNA (477 nucleotides) under uncultured bacterium. RNAcentral describes it as "bacterial SSU rRNA". It matches the Rfam family "Bacterial small subunit ribosomal RNA", at positions 29 to 524 of the family's 1533-position model. The record is from RNAcentral.